AUGCUCUCUUCCACAGCACAUACACUAAAAGUGGAACAAUACAGAGAAGAUUAGCAUGGCCCUAUGCAAGGAUGACAUGCAAAUUUGUGAUGCAUUCCACAUUUUU
Molecule: small nuclear RNA, 106 nt
Organism: Nannospalax galili (Upper Galilee mountains blind mole rat)
Lineage: Eukaryota; Metazoa; Chordata; Mammalia; Rodentia; Spalacidae
Source: Ensembl